Molecule: ribosomal RNA, 1546 nt
Filed under: metagenome
Description: bacterial LSU rRNA
Rfam family: Bacterial large subunit ribosomal RNA
Source: RNAcentral
GGUUCCUAAGGCGAGGCUGAAAAGCGUAGUCGAUGGGAAACAGGUUAAUAUUCCUGUACUUCUGGUUACUGCGAUGGAGGGACGGAGAAGGCUAGGCCAGCUUGGCGUUGGUUGUCCAAGUUUAAGGUGGUAGGCUGAAAUCUUAGGUAAAUCCGGGGUUUCAAGGCCGAGAGCUGAUGACGAGUCGUCUUUUAGAUGACGAAGUGGUUGAUGCCAUGCUUCCAAGAAAAGCUUCUAAGCUUCAGGUAACCAGGAACCGUACCCCAAACCGACACAGGUGGUCGGGUAGAGAAUACCAAGGCGCUUGAGAGAACUCGGGUGAAGUAACUAGGCAAAAUGGCACCGUAACUUCGGGAGAAGGUGCGCCGGCUAGGGUGAAGGAUUUACUCCGUAAGCUCUGGCUGGUCGAAGAUACCAGGCCGCUGCGACUGUUUAUUAAAAACACAGCACUCUGCAAACACGAAAGUGGACGUAUAGGGUGUGACGCCUCCCCGGUGCCGGAAGGUUAAUUGAUGGGGUUAGCGCAAGCGAAGCUCUUGAUCGAAGCCCCGGUAAACGGCGGCCGUAACUAUAACGGUCCUAAGGUAGCGAAAUUCCUUGUCGGGUAAGUUCCGACCUGCACGAAUGGCGUAACGAUGGCGGCGCUGUCUCCACCCGAGACUCAGUGAAAUUGAAAUCGCUGUGAAGAUGCAGUGUAUCCGCGGCUAGACGGAAAGACCCCGUGAACCUUUACUGUAGCUUUGCACUGGACUUUGAGCCUGCUUGUGUAGGAUAGGUGGGAGGCUUUGAAGCGUGGACGCCAGUUCGCGUGGAGCCAUCCUUGAAAUACCACCCUGGCAUGCUUGAGGUUCUAACUCUGGUCCGUAAUCCGGAUCGAGGACAGUGUAUGGUGGGCAGUUUGACUGGGGCGGUCUCCUCCUAAAGAGUAACGGAGGAGUACGAAGGUGCGCUCAGACCGGUCGGAAAUCGGUCGCAGAGUAUAAAGGCAAAAGCGCGCUUGACUGCGAGACAGACACGUCGAGCAGGUACGAAAGUAGGUCUUAGUGAUCCGGUGGUUCUGUAUGGAAGGGCCAUCGCUCAACGGAUAAAAGGUACUCCGGGGAUAACAGGCUGAUACCGCCCAAGAGUUCAUAUCGACGGCGGUGUUUGGCACCUCGAUGUCGGCUCAUCACAUCCUGGGGCUGAAGCCGGUCCCAAGGGUAUGGCUGUUCGCCAUUUAAAGUGGUACGCGAGCUGGGUUUAGAACGUCGUGAGACAGUUCGGUCCCUAUCUGCCGUGGACGUUUGAGAUUUGAGAGGGGCUGCUCCUAGUACGAGAGGACCGGAGUGGACGAACCUCUGGUGUUCCGGUUGUCACGCCAGUGGCAUUGCCGGGUAGCUAUGUUCGGAAAAGAUAACCGCUGAAAGCAUCUAAGCGGGAAACUUGCCUCAAGAUGAGAUCUCACUGGGAACUUGAUUCCCCUGAAGGGCCGUCGAAGACUACGACGUUGAUAGGCUGGGUGUGUAAGCGUUGUGAGGCGUUGAGCUAACCAGUACUAAUUGCCCGU